Molecule: long non-coding RNA, 1256 nt
Organism: Myotis myotis
Lineage: Eukaryota; Metazoa; Chordata; Mammalia; Chiroptera; Vespertilionidae
Exons: 3
Source: RefSeq, a predicted model, not a curated record
UCCGGCCGCGGGCCGCCUUUGUUCCCUUGGUCCCCGGCAGCGGCCCGCCUCCCCCGCCGCGCGCCGGGGUUUUUCCAGGGCUCAACUGGAGCAUGGCGGUGCCGCCUCCCUCACUUCCCGACUCAGACCCCGGCCUCCUGCGCCCGGGCUCGGGCGGCGACCCCGGCAAGACCCCGAGAUCACCUGCGGGGAGCUGUGCCCUCUCCAGAUGCCCUGCUCGCUCCGUCCCUCCGGGUCCCUAAGCCCCACGUGUGCGCGCAAAGCUGACAGUCUCCUGGCCCGCACGCCUCCGCGCUUGGCGCCCCGAGCCCCUCCAGGGCUGCAAGUUGGGGGACGGGGAUCAGGCGGGUGCGGAGCCGGGCCGCCAAUGCCUCCAGGUUGUGGAAGGGCCUCACGUUUUCCCCAAGGGGUUGGGGUGCAGUCCGGGCGGUAUGUUUGGUGGUCCCCAAACAUACCUGGAGGGGAACCCACGAGCGCGCGCACACGGCCCGGCAAGCGGGGAGAUCACCCCCAGCCCACCGCGCGCUCGCCGCGCCCGCCCCCACGGGAAAAUGGGCACACUCGAGGGCAGUAAGCCCCGGAGCACCGAGAACCCCCUCCCAGCCAUCAGGAAGAAAAGGGAGAUAGGCAGGCAGAAAAGGGGCGAUGGGGAGAUGCAAGGGGCGCUGGAAUGUCCCAGGGAGUGAGGGCAGGAAUGGGGACUGUGUGACCGCGGCAAGCUGGGUCCUGUCGGCGCAGAGCAGUAAUGGGGGAGCCUGACUUCUCUGAAAGGGCCUCUCCUCCAGUUGCAUCUUUGUCAGCUCUAUCUGCUUCCUCCCAGUGUUAAGGCCCCCUCCCUCCCAGCCAUCGGAGCAUGAGGAAGCCUUGGUUCCACACAGCUGGGCUUCUUGCUCACAGGCUAACGCAGAUGCCCUUUGCCCUUGUGAAGUUGGUGGAAAGUUGCAGAAGCUGAAACGGAGCCGGUGGCUGGGCACCAGCCCCUGGAAUAGAGGAACUUUCACUGAGAGCAAGCUGUGACGUUGGGGCUGCCUACAGAGGGAACAAGAAAUUGAGGCCUCUCCCUGAUGCCCCCAAGAAACUGAAUUCUGCCAACCACCUCAUGAGCUUGCAAGCAGAUUCCUCCCCAGUCAAGCCUCAGAUGAGACCUCAGCCCUAGCCAAUACCUUGAUGGCAGCCCUGCAGAAGUCCCAGUCCAGGAUGUCCAGACUUCUGUGAGAAACUGUGAUAUAAUAAAUGUGUACUGCUUUAAGCUGCGA